GACGGAGGUAGGCUUACGAGGCCCGUGUGGGGUAGGAAGGGUCUUUCCUCGUCCGGGACACUCUGGCACGACCAUGGACCGUAGGAAAAAGCCUUUGGACGUCACGGCCUCUUCGUUGGUAGAUCUUAAGGCUGAACUCUUCCGAAAGCAAGAAGAAUUCAAACAAGAAAAACUUCUAAAAGAUUCUGGAGUUUUUGGAAAACCAAAAACAACUAACAAGAAACCAAGUAUCUGGAGCAAACAGAAUGUAGGCGUUUCAAAUCGAGCUGAGAAGGAUGCUGAACAGAAGAUUGAAGAACAGAAGACUUUAGACAAAGCAAGGGAAAAAUUGGAAGAAAAAGCCAAAUUAUAUGAAAAAAUGACUAAAGGAGACUUUAUAGAUGAAGAAGUGGAGGAUAUGUACCUUGUGGAUUUCACACAGAAGAUCAUAGACAAGCGCAAAGAAAUGGAGGCAUCUGGUGCCCAUAGAGAUUCUCAAAAGGCAGGAGAAAGGGACGAUGAUGAGGAAAACCUUCCUGAGGGAGAGAUCCCUCCUCCCCAAGACCCCAGUGAAGAAUGGUUGGUAACAUCAUGGAUUAGCUCAGAGGAACAUCCUCAGACUUGCGCUGACAUUUUGGGAGUGAUUUUGUUGGGUUGUUAUCAAGCCAUUUCUCUUUAUUCUUCCUGGGUGUUCUUUUGAGACUUCCCUUUAAGUUAGGUUGGAUUAGGUUAUUAUAGUUGUAGAAACAGUAGCUCAAAUGAAGACAUAAUU
RNAcentral lists this small RNA (751 nucleotides) under Pongo abelii (Sumatran orangutan). RNAcentral's name for it is "retained intron". Lineage: Eukaryota; Metazoa; Chordata; Mammalia; Primates; Hominidae. The record is from RNAcentral.